Arachis ipaensis is the source of this 435-nucleotide long non-coding RNA. RefSeq lists it as uncharacterized. The record is from RefSeq and is a predicted model, not a curated record. NCBI's taxonomy places the organism in Eukaryota, Viridiplantae, Streptophyta, Magnoliopsida, Fabales, Fabaceae.
AUUAAUACAAAGAGAAAAAAAAAGACAUUAGGCAGUACCAAACUCAUCGUACCUCAGGCUUUUUUUUUCCAAAGCAAACCAACAAUUUUAUUACUUCCUUGAAAAAACAAACCGCAGGAAGGUUCCAAAAACAUCAGUAUAAGGAACGGCGACGGCUGUGGCAAGGCAGACGCAAAGGCGGCGAACGACUCUUGAGAGUACCUGGCAGCGCGAUUGAGAAGCACUGGGGACAUUGUGGCGCACCUUGACGGUGCUGUCGGCAGCGGGGUUGAUUGGAGGAUUCCUUCAUUGCUCGAACUCAGGGGAGACUGAGACCGAAAAUUAAAAUAGGAGGGAGUUAGGGUAUAGUUUUAAAUUUAGGGGUAUUUUAGUAAUUUUAAAAUUUUAGUCUCUAGUUUAAUUUCAAACCAAACAUGAUAUUGAGACAUAAAUUCA